GCAAAGUUAUUCAAAAAUCCAGAUCGGAAAGUAAGUCUUUCAAGUCAAACACAAAAUAUAUAAAAAUAAAAAGCAUAGUUGUCACUGGAUCUGAGUUCGGGAAGAUAAAUAAAAUCAACUACAGCAGAUCCAUGAGUAAUGAAACAAAAAUAAGAGGAAACAAAAUAUCAACUCAAAAUAGAGACGUUGAUCCUAACAACUUUGCUGAAUAAAAUUGCAGAUCGGAAAACUAGUACAGAAAAAA
Molecule: long non-coding RNA, 244 nt
Filed under: Nicotiana benthamiana
Lineage: Eukaryota; Viridiplantae; Streptophyta; Magnoliopsida; Solanales; Solanaceae
Description: long non-coding RNA (NBEN_LNC026991)
Source: RNAcentral